This 1015-nucleotide long non-coding RNA is filed under the name Calidris pugnax (ruff). Its description in RNAcentral is "lncRNA (ENSCPUG00000018221.1)". The record is from RNAcentral. Lineage: Eukaryota; Metazoa; Chordata; Aves; Charadriiformes; Scolopacidae.
AUGUCUCUUAUAGUUCCGCAGGACACUUUCCCCCCUCUGUCAUCUGUAACCUAAUUUGACAAAUUGUCUGAAAAACAAUUAAUGCUGUCUUUUAUUUUAAAGCCUGAAACAACGGACUUGCACUUCAGAAGCAGAGCUUGAGGAAAAGAAACAUUUAUAUCCUGAGUGUGUGUCUCCAUAUGAAGAAAACUGUAGCUCCUACACCAGGCAACUCCCAGAUGGGACGGGAAAUUACUCAAGGUCCAACAAGAAAUCUGCCCAAAAGUACAGCCUCAUGCAGUGGGUGAGCAAGAACUUGGCCAAACACCACCAUUUCCAGAGCAUCCCUGACCACUUACAGCGUCGCCCCGUGAUAGCCUGGUCUAAUGUCUGAUUUUGCUGCCGAGGGACUGUGCUGGUUCUUGCUCUUCAUUUAGAGUUGUUCUUAAGUUCUGGUUUUGAGUGGUUUGUAUCUUCACGAGUUGUUUUAUGAUCUGUUUUUAAUAAGGCCAAUGGAAAUUUCUGUGUUUUAGAAACAUUUGGAACUGGUUUUGAAGCCUGAUUUCAAUGUGAUCUGUUUCUGUAGAGGUAACUUCUGUGUUUUGCAUCAUGCUUUGUUAUCCUUUGAACUGAAAACAACCUCCUCACAGAGCAGGUAACAGAAGCAGUUGGUGUUCAAGAGGCAAGAUUGUGUGUUGGAUGUGAGGAUGUAACGUUUCAAUGAUGGAAUCUGGAAAAUGUGCUUUGAAUUGGAAAAACUUUUCUUUAAAGCUUGGACCUAAACUUUGGUAUUAAAUCUCCUACAGUGGUUGGGGCUCCCUUUGAAUAACGUGAAGGCUUCAAAUUGUGAAAAUGGCUCGUGCCUGCUGUCUCCCUCCGUUUGGCAAAGACCGAGUUGUGUUUGUUCACUGUAAACUCAGGAGCACCAGUUGAUUUACCUCGUUUGGGUAUGUCUUGUCUUGUCCUGUUCUUCUUUCUGUCCCUGAAAAGUUUGCUGUCUCUUUUGAUUGUUUUUGCUUGUGGUUUUGUUUGUAAC